UGAAAUAUGCAUGGUGUAAAUUGAAUGCUAUUUUUGUGAAAACAAACCAACAAACAUCUUGCUUUGCUAUGUCUAGUGAUACAAUAUGCUGGUUUUCUGAAAUAACUUAUUUUUCAAUACUUAAAAAAAAUGCUUAAAUGUUAAAUAUUUUAAACAGUGCAAAAUAUGCAUUUCCUUUCUUAAAUAUAUGAUCAAUCAGAUGGGAAGAUUUUUAAAACACAUGCUUGUGUGUGCCUAUGGAUAGAAGAGAACUGACAAGAAAAUAAUUUGGAAAAGUAAUGAAGAGUUAGAAAGAGAAAGCAAACCAUACCUUUGAGAGAGAGAAAAAUCACUAGCACAGAAAUGGUUUAUCAGAAUAUUGUCCUUAGUAGUUUUUCAAGUUCAUCAAUCCAACAUUUUCUUUAUGAUUUAAGUUCUUAAAUUCUGUGCUAGAUCUUUGGUUAAAUCCAAGAAGUGUUAAAUUCUAAGAGACUAGUUCUUACCACAGAUGAUAUUAAAAUUGCCUUCUCAUAAAAUAAUAAAAUUGCCAGCAUUAUAAUU
Molecule: long non-coding RNA, 540 nt
Filed under: Bos taurus (domestic cattle)
Lineage: Eukaryota; Metazoa; Chordata; Mammalia; Artiodactyla; Bovidae
Description: long non-coding RNA NONBTAT006156
Source: RNAcentral